UGGGGAAUUUUGGACAAUGGGCGAAAGCCUGAUCCAGCAAUGCCGCGUGUGUGAAGAAGGCCUUCGGGUUGUAAAGCACUUUUGUCCGGAAAGAAAUCCUUGGCUCUAAUACAGUCGGGGGAUGACGGUACCGGAAGAAUAAGCACCGGCUAACUACGUGCCAGCAGCCGCGGUAAUACGUAGGGUGCAAGCGUUAAUCGGAAUUACUGGGCGUAAAGCGUGCGCAGGCGGUUUGCUAAGACCGAUGUGAAAUCCCCGGGCUCAACCUGGGAACUGCAUUGGUGACUGGCAGGCUAGAGUAUGGCAGAGGGGGGUAGAAUUCCACGUGUAGCAGUGAAAUGCGUAGAGAUGUGGAGGAAUACCGAUGGCGAAGGCAGCCCCCUGGGCCAAUACUGACGCUCAUGCACGAAAGCGUGGGGAGCAAACAGGAUUAGAUGCCCUGGUAGUCCACGCCCUAAACGAUGUCAACUAGUUGUUGGGGAUUCAUUUCCUUAGUAACGUAGCUAACGCGUGAAGUUGACCGCCUGGGGAGUACGGUCGCAAGAUUAAAACUCAAAUGAAUUGACGGGGUCAUA
Molecule: ribosomal RNA, 575 nt
Filed under: uncultured bacterium
Lineage: Bacteria
Description: partial 16S ribosomal RNA
Rfam family: Bacterial small subunit ribosomal RNA
Source: RNAcentral